Molecule: non-coding RNA, 81 nt
Filed under: Thalassiosira minuscula
Lineage: Eukaryota; Bacillariophyta; Thalassiosirophyceae; Thalassiosirales; Thalassiosiraceae
Source: RNAcentral
UUUUCAUUUCUUUUUAUUUUUCUUUUUAGACUUUUUCUUUUUUUUUUUUUUUUUUACAACAAUAAAAAGGCAGACAUUAGU